CAUUUGUGAAGAAAGAGGAGCGUGCCUAAUCAUUAUAUAUACGAAGACCAAGCUCAAGAAUAGAUAUCUUAUUGAAAAAUAUUAGUUACACAUAUUGAGUCUUUGUUGAGUCUUUUUAUUCACUACAAAAUAAAUUGGGAAUAGCGACAGAAUGAUAGGGGCGGUUUCAUAUAAACCGUCGCCGCUAUGUUAUUUAAACACUUUGCCGACCGUUCUUUCGAAACCGUCGUGGCUGAGAUCUGAAAAUAACGCGCUUCCCCUUUCUCUUUUCUCUCUUCUUCUUUUCUCACUCACAAUUUGUCUUUUAUCGAAGGAAAUUGGAACAAACAACACCGUCUCAUUUUUCUCUGAGAAUUGUUCAACCCUAAGUUUCAUUUCAGCAAAUCUUCGAUUCUAA
This 397-nucleotide long non-coding RNA is filed under the name Trifolium pratense (red clover). Its description in RNAcentral is "long non-coding RNA (TPRA_LNC007977)". The record is from RNAcentral. Lineage: Eukaryota; Viridiplantae; Streptophyta; Magnoliopsida; Fabales; Fabaceae.